GAUGAAGAACGUAGCGAAAUGCGAUAAGUAAUGUGAAUUGCAGAAUUCAGUGAAUCAUCGAAUCUUUGAACGCACCUUGCGCCCUUUGGCCAUUCCGAAGGGCAUGCCUGUUUGAGUAUCAUGAACACCUCAACUCUCAUGGCUCGCCAUGAUGAGCUUGGAUUUGGGGGUCUUGCUGGCCUGUGGUCGGCUCCUCUCAAAUGGAUCAGCUUGCCAGUGUUUGGUGGCAUCACAGGUGUGAUAACUAUCUGCGCUUGUGGUUUUCCAUCAGAUAACCUUCAGUGAUGGAGGUUCGCUGGAGCUCAUAAACGUCUCCCCUAAGCGGGGACAGCCCUUUGAAUGUUUGAUCUCAAAACAGGUAGGACUACCCGCUGAACUUAAGCAUAUCAAUAAGCGGAGGA
This 401-nucleotide unclassified non-coding RNA is filed under the name soil metagenome. Its description in RNAcentral is "partial contains 5.8S ribosomal RNA, internal transcribed spacer 2, and large subunit ribosomal RNA". The stretch from base 1 to 121 matches the Rfam family "5.8S ribosomal RNA", at positions 35 to 154 of the family's 154-position model. The record is from RNAcentral.